This 75-nucleotide transfer RNA is filed under the name Candidatus Omnitrophota bacterium. Its description in RNAcentral is "tRNA-His". It matches the Rfam family "tRNA". From Rfam's summary of the family: Transfer RNA (tRNA) molecules are approximately 80 nucleotides in length. Their secondary structure includes four short double-helical elements and three loops (D, anti-codon, and T loops). The record is from RNAcentral. Lineage: Bacteria; Pseudomonadati; Candidatus Omnitrophota.
GUGGCUAUAGUGUAAAGGUUAGCACAACAGACUGUGGCUCUGUUUGCACGGGUUCGAAUCCCGUUAGCCACCCCA